GUCCUCGUGGAUGAGGGAACUGAUGAAAACGGUGUGUGUACAGAAAUCAUCACCCCAGUGACGAACAGUCAGGGUGAGAAGAAGAAGCUCCCCUACCCCAGGAACCACUGGAAGAAUUGCCUGCCUUUGAGGGAGAAGAAGAGGCUCUGUCUGACACUGAGGUGAGCUCCCUUUCUUUAUCUCAGAUGAAAAUGCGGCUUCAUUUCUUUUUUCAGUCAAAGGCAGUUACAAAAUUCAGACCAUGUAUGUUAUAGCUGAUGUAUACAGUUUCCUUGGUUGGGGUAUGUUGAGGGAAAAUCAAUUACAACAGAGACCUGAUUCAUUAAAUCUUUCCCCAAAAGUUAGCAUCAAAUAACUACCGUCCUAAGAGCAGGCCCUUUCCCCAGCAGAAUAUUUUCCUCCUUGAAGCAGAAUUGUAUGAUACCUGUUUUAAAUUGGACCUGAGAAGUUUCCAGGAAAAGCUAGAUCCUUUCCCACUGAUGUCCUCUCAGGUUCCUUUGGGGACCAUCGAUGCAAGGACAGUUUCCCAGUUAGUUUUCUGAGGACAAAGAGGAAACAAAUGACCUGUGAGCCCAGAGCACAGGAAGCUUAGAUCCUCACACUGUCCUUAUUUUGUUUUUUCUCUAAUUGCAGGCACAAACAGUAGUCAUGCAAAGUUCUAUGUGUUAUGACAUCGACACUCCACCAAUGAACAAUCAGGUUUCUAUGUAUUAUGAGGUGAACACUCCACCAAUAAGCAAUCAGGUUGAAGAAGAUGGGAGAGCCACCGGAUUCCGGGUUCCUGGUGGGAAUGAGGGCUGGGGCUGUAGAGCAAGCGACUCUUGCCCAGUGAGGAGCAGUGCCAAGUACUGUGGUCCUGGAAGACACUACGUCACUGCAUCUCUGGGCAUCUUUGCUGGAGACGAAGUGGAGAUGCACCUGCUUUGGGGAGGUGGCUGGCGAGAAAGAGAGCGAAUGCGGGCCCCGCCCCGUGAGGCAAAGCUCACUUCCUGAUGGAGGAUGGGGCUGUGUGGCCUGAUUCUCUGUGGAGCUCCUGAGUCGAUGCCUCCCACCCAAAAAAUCACAGGUUAAAAGGUAAGAAAGAGGAUAACGGAAGUAGCCCGUGUGUAUCUAUUAAAAUAAUUAGCGCUGUUGCCCAAACUCAGCAUUUGCCCACGGGUGCCAAAUAGAAACAAGGAGACAAGAGUCUUGGGUGUAGAAGGAAAAAGAUAUCUUUUAUUGCUUUGCCGGGUAAAGGAGGCCACAGCAGGCUC
RNAcentral lists this long non-coding RNA (1253 nucleotides) under Sus scrofa (pig). Its description in RNAcentral is "lncRNA (ENSSSCG00070025346.1)". Lineage: Eukaryota; Metazoa; Chordata; Mammalia; Artiodactyla; Suidae. The record is from RNAcentral.